This 430-nucleotide unclassified non-coding RNA is filed under the name soil metagenome. Its description in RNAcentral is "partial contains 5.8S ribosomal RNA, internal transcribed spacer 2, and large subunit ribosomal RNA". The stretch from base 1 to 120 matches the Rfam family "5.8S ribosomal RNA", at positions 35 to 154 of the family's 154-position model. The record is from RNAcentral.
GAUGAAGAACGCAGCGAAAUGCGAUACGUAAUGUGAAUUGCAGAAUUCAGUGAAUCAUCGAAUCUUUGAACGCAUAUUGCGCUCUCUGGUAUUCCGGAGAGCAUGCUUGUUUGAGUAUCAGUAAACACCUCAACUCCCUUUUCUUUUUUGAAAUUGGAGCUGGACUUGAGUGAUCCCAACGCUUUCUUCCAAGAAAGUGGCGGGUUGCUUGAAAUGCAGGUGCAGCUGAACUUUUCUUUGAGUUAUAAGCAUAUCUAUUUAGUCUGCCUAAAAAACAGAUUAUUACCUUUGCUGCAGCUAACAUAAAGGAGACUAGUUCUUGUGCUGACUGAUGCAGGAUUCACAGAGACAGCUUCGGCUGACUUUGUAAACUCGAUCUCAAAUCAAGUAAGACUACCCGCUGAACUUAAGCAUAUCAAUAAGCGGAGGA